Hemibagrus wyckioides is the source of this 1188-nucleotide long non-coding RNA. RefSeq lists it as uncharacterized. The record is from RefSeq and is a predicted model, not a curated record. Lineage: Eukaryota; Metazoa; Chordata; Actinopteri; Siluriformes; Bagridae. The transcript is spliced from 2 exons.
AUGUGUGGAAGGUCAUUGCGCUCAUUAAGUUUUAGCCAAUCGGAAGAUGCCCUGGAGGGUAUAAAAACUGAGAGGGUCUUUGGCUUCGUAUGCGUCAUCAUUGGUGGACCGUGACGUCAUCGACAUGCUAUUGUUUGAUGCUAGGAACCGCUGGUGGACACGAGAGACGUUUCGUAGGGAGGCUUGAAUAUUCAGGCGACGGGUUGCCUUUUGUUUCAUGCUAGAGGAGCCUGCUGUCUGUCCCUUUACUAUAUAUCCUGGAAGUGCACAACGGUAUGUAUAAUUUCUCGAUGUCUUGUGCUAUCGCUACAGCGAAACUAACAUCUUUAAUUUGUUUAAGGAGUGCAAGAGUUGAGUUCCACAUACCUGGGUGCUCCACGUUCUACAUUGGGUUUUAUACCAGCGUCCAAGUGUUUGGAAGUGCACCACAUGGACGGUAUCCUUGUUUAGCCAACAUGCUGCUUUAAUACAUGUUUUGCUGUUUAAUCGACACGUGAAUUGAAUCUGAUCCUCCAAGUUAAUGUGAUGCUAAAUUAAAUGUGGAUUGGUACACUGGCUUUAAAAGGUGAAUUCCUUGUUUGUGCAAAACCCUCAUAACCAGUGACUGAACUGUAAUACUCUUUUAAGGGGCUUCUAAUUCUGACAUUAGUGUUGCUGUUUUACAUUUUAUUUUAUUUUUUGUUAUUUUCAUUAAGAUUAAUUAUUUUCCUUUUUUUUGUUAUUUUCCUGUAUUUAAGGUUGUUUCCUUUUUUGGGGGGAUUUUGUCUCUUAGUAGACAAAUCCCAUAUUGUAGUUAAUUUCUUUAUUUCUAUAUGUACGCUGUUUGUUUUGGGGUGGACAACCAAGUCAUUAAGUUAUCCAUCCGUUGUAAUUUUUCCAUCUGUUGGUUUUCUUUGUUUUAAUUUGUAUCUCUUGUGUUGGCAGGGAUUGUGGCUGCUCUUUGGUUCAGUGCUUCCUACACGGGUGUCGUGCUCCUUGGGAGGUGGUUGUGAGUGCACUGGGUGUAUGUGUGUAUUAAUAAUGGAGACUGAAGUGUUCUAUCUUACUUGCGAAUAGAGCCUGUCUGCGUCCAUCUGUCAUUAAGAGAUGCAGUUUUAGAAGUUUGAGUGUGAAAUCAGUGAAUGAACUUGGUUUUAUUGUUUUACAUUAUAUUUUCUCUCCCUAAAUAAACUAUAUUCUUGUAUGGAC